RNAcentral lists this long non-coding RNA (8142 nucleotides) under Homo sapiens (human). RNAcentral's name for it is "HSALNT0295744". Lineage: Eukaryota; Metazoa; Chordata; Mammalia; Primates; Hominidae. The record is from RNAcentral.
AGUUCUUCCUCCACCAGGUGGCCCUGGAGCUUGGUGGCUCUGGCCCUCAAACUUUCCUCCUCCAUGCUCACAGCUGACCAAGCCUGUGGCCCUGCGAUCCUGCUCUGAGGGGGUUCCUGACUUGGACCAUGGGUGGGGCCAAGGACGGCCUGACAUUCUGUCCUUCCCUGCUGAUGGCCCAGUGCCCCACAUUCUCUGCAGAGAUGAAAUCCCACAUCCCUGGGCUAGUCAAGUGAAGCAAUGGGAGUGGAGAUGGAACAAAGAAAUCUGCAAUUGGUUGUGAUCAAUUAGUUGUAAACACUACUGCACUUGGACCAACCUCUUCCUUUUCCUGACUGCUUAGGAAGGAUGGAAUGUAUUUCCUUCCUUCUGGGAGUGUUUGAAUGAAGAUUAGACUCUCCUUGACCAUGAAUGAAGAGCAACCAGUUUUUUAGUAUACAGUGAUUUAGACUCUGGGUCUAGAGUGUAGAUAUCAUGGGCACUGUGAAAGCACAGAAGGAGAAAAGGUUUUUAUGUGAGUAUAUGGGAGAGGAAAUAGUUUAUUGUCAUAAGCUUUUUGGCUAUGGCCUCCAUUACAUCUCUAGCUUUUGGAAGGCACUAAAUUGAGGCCAUUCAAAUCCAUGUCCACCUAUCCUUUGCCCGUCACGAGACUGAUGGCUUAGGAAGCAUGUGGUCUAGGUACUAGAGAGGGAGCCUGACCCACCUACCUCACCGCUGCUGCUGAAUUUGUGCACAACUCUCUGACCUGGUUCCAUGUCACAAAGGGUUUCAUUCUCUCUGAUUCCCUGAAUCCCCAGCUCUAGCCGCAGAUCCUGGAACCCUAGCAUAUGCCUGAAGCUGAAUAUUUUACUUGCCAGAGUAAGAGUUUUUACAUAGACUCUGUCAUCUUCUACUGGCCCUCCUCUUAAACUGAGGCAGCGGCUGCUAGCUACUCACCAAACCUAUUUUACUUUCUUUUUCUUUUUUUUUUUUUUUUUUUGAGACAGAGUCUUGCUCUGUCGCCCAGACUGGAGUGCAGUGGUAUGAUCUCGGCUCACUGCAACCUCCGCCUCUCAGGUUCAAGCGAUUCUCCCACCGUAGCCUCCUGAGUCGAUGGGAUUACAGGUGUGUGCCACCACACCCAGCUAAUUUUUGUAUUUUUUGGUAGAGAUGGAGGUUUCACUAUGUUGGCCAGGCUAGUCUCUAACUCCUGACCUCAAAUGAUCCACCCACCUCAGCCUCCCAAAGUGCUGGGAUUACAGGCAUAAGCCACCGUGCCUGGCCCCCCAUUUUACUUUCUUCUUUAACAUAUAGUUAGAAUGAAAACAUGUUGAAGGGAUGAUGGCAUUAGAAAAUUACCACUGGCCACUAUCACAGUAAUAAUUGCUUUAGGCAAGAAUGAUCGAUAAAAGCUAAAAUUAAUGGGCAAAAGUAUGAUGAGAAACAGGAUAUUUAUACAAUCGCAAAGUGCCUCCCAAUAAGAUACUUAUUAAAAAGGUAAAAAUGGUAAUUUUCAGUGGAGAAAUAUGGCAGACACCAUAGUAACCAACUGAUCAAAGGGAACAUUGGCAUUAAUGGGACAAAUCAGCAUCACGUUUCUCUUGUCAUGAAGCACUGAGAAGGCCACAGCAUUGCUUCUGAAAUAUUGCAACAAAAAUGAAUAACUUGAAUCUAAUGAUGAGGAAACAUUGGAGAAAUCCAAACCUUGGAACACGCUACAAAACAACUAACUCGUACUCUGAGAAACAUAUCAGUGGACUGGAUUCCAAACAGUGGCUCAUGCCUGUAAUUUUAACACUUUGGGAGGCCAAGUUUGGUGGGGCUUUGUGUCUGAAUUCUGGCCAAUGGAACCACGUGGAGGCCUGGCCCAGAACAUCUCCCUGUGGAUUCUCUCAUCUGGCAACUGGAUGCCUACACGAAGGGUGAUUUUGGAGUCAUGUGUUGGAGAUCACAAAGCUUUUGUCAGCCAGGUUCCUGAAUGACUGCUAGACACCAUGGGCUGAACUUUAUGAGCUCCAGCACCACCUCCAGCCUUCAGUGACUGUCUGGAGCAGGCAUCCGGAUGGAAGAGAAGGGGGACAACCAUGAACUUGGUGACCCACGGUCAGCCUGAUUUCCCUUGUGGACACAUUUAUGCCCAGUGUGCAUUCCUCCUGAGGUCUGUUCCAAGUCUGGAGGCAGCAGAGUAGAGUGGAGAGAACAGUGGACUUGGAAUCUCACCUCCCAGAUUAGAGUCCUGGAUCUGACUUUGAUUGCUGGUGCUGCCUCGGGCAAGUUACUUUAGCUGUGUGCAUCUCCAUUUCCCCAUGGAUAGAACAUGGGUUUUGGGUAGAAGUGUCUGAUAGCUGUACUGUGCUUUACGGUUCAUGAGCACGCACACAUAGGCCCAUAAUAUCAUAUCUCUGGUCACCCUGGCAGGUAGAUAUUAUUGCCCCAGGUUUCAGGUAAGAAGACUAAAGACCAGGGGUCAAUUGCUUGCUCAGAGUCCCACAGCCAGCAGCAGCCAGGCAGGACACCAAGUCAGAGUCUAGAUUCCGGAUCUUGCCCUCUUCCAAGUGUACCACAUUCUUCUCAAAGUGGCCUCUCAGGUCUUUUGUCCAGAAAAUUUUGAGACUUUGAUGAGAAGCCCAUAUCUGCACACUGGGGAUUAGGCCAGAUAACCCUGUGUGUCCUUCCAGGCCUGGUAUUGUGAGGCUGAAGCCUAGUGCCCCACACUCCCUUCCUCACCCCUUAGAGAAAGAUAGAGACUCCAGGGCCAGCCUGGUGGGUGCUGAACCUGCCCUGCUGAGCCAAGCCCAGGAGGCAGCCAAGGUCCUACCAGUGACCUUACCCUGGGGGCCCCUCCAGGUAGGAGCCUGGUUGGAAAAGACAGACCGACUUCUUCUGGGUUGGCUGGAAAAAGAUGACAUACUCAAAGCCUUGUCCUUCCACUUGGAUGCACCUGGUGAAGAUGCGACAGUCACCUUUGUCUGGGGAGAGAUAGGCAGUGUUGCAGCCGGAGAAGGGAGGGUAUGGUCAGGAUGCAGCACCAUUUGGUUGAGUCUUGCCUCUGGUACAAGAUUAAGGAGAGAAAACCAGAGGACACCAGGUCCACCCCCAGGGAGCCUUCCCUCUGGGAGCAGAGGCACAGUUGCUGUCCUCACAGAGCCUUUCUGUCUAGGGCAGAAACAUGCAGGAAGUGCCCUGGCUGAGAAUGGAGAUAGGAUCAGGGCCAGGGCAAGACUUUAAGAGACCAUAAGCAUUGAAAAUUGAAAAUGUAAUUACUCAUGUAACUCACAUAUAAUUCAAAAGAAUAAUAGUAAACAGUAAAAUAAGAGCAGAAAAGUCCAUCAAAGUUCUGAUUUUUUUUUUCCAAGACAGCUACCACUACUACAUCCUUUUUUGGAAGUAUCAAAUUCUUUGAAAAAAAAUUAUGUUGGUAUUCCUGCUUUGUUUGUGCCAUAAACCCAAGGGUAGUCUGUCCCCUGUACCACUCCUUCAUCACUAGGCAGGAAGACAACAUAUAUGAGUGAGAGAGACAGGGAGAUACACAUGCGUGCACACACGAGUGCACACACACACACAAGAAGGUGGAAGCUCUAUCAUUAGGAUCCAUUAGGAUCAUUAGGUGUUUCAGGAGUGCUGCUCCAGACCCCGCACAGCAGGGAUGAUGUGCAGGGCCUCAGUGGAAGGGGUGUGGGGUCCAAGGGCUUUCAUGGGGUUGGGGCGGAAGGCUUGGGAUGAGGCUUGAUAGUUAGGGAGGGGCAGUCAGUGAGAAGUCGGGGCAGGAGCUGGGCUGGCUGUCCUCCAGUGGGGACAUGCUUGGCUGGGAGCGAAGGUGGGCCCACCAGGGUGUGCUGCUUCAGAUGGGAGGAGGGGAGCUGGAGACCUGAGAGGACACCCGCCGCCUGUUGCCUGGGGCUGCAGCAUCAGGGGUGGAGUUGGACAGCAGGAAGAACUCGCUGAGAACUGGAAGGCGGUCUGUGAAGUUGCUUCUCAGUCUUAGAACACAGGGAAGGGCGGCUGGGGUGUGUGUACUCAUGGUCCUGUCCUUACCUGAGGAAACUGCCAGUCCAGAUGGGAGCUUGAGUCCCCGGAUGUGGUCUCUGUUGGACUUGAAGGAGGGCAGCUUGAUCCAGCCGCUAGACUUAGUCUUCUCCAGAAAUUCUUGGUACAGGCUCAGCAUGUCCGAACACCAGCUGGCAUUGGGAAGAGCAUAAUCCUUCAAGUCUGUCUUCUCUGGCAAGAAUCUUGAGAACUGGGCAGGAAAAAUCAGAAUGACUAGACAGCAUCCUGGAGGGGGGCUGCUGCCUGGGCUCGGGACCUCUAAACAGCUGUUCCUGGGUGCUGGGGCUUCUCAAUCCCUUCUGCCAGAGUAUCGAUCCAAGGGAAAGGGCCCAUAUUCCUUGCAGGGGGGCUGCGGACCCCUAUGGGUGACGGGGCAUAAGGAUGCUAAAGAGCAAGGGAAGGGCGGGCAGGGAGUGGGGCCAGAGAUGAUGGGCAUGCUGCUCGAUGUGGUGCCUUACCCUUGUUCUGCUUAAAACAUGUGAGCAGUUCUUUAAAGUUGACAACUGCUCAUAUUAGCCUCACUGUACAGAUGGGGAAACUGAGGGAAUACGGCCAAGGUUGCCAAGCAUGUGACUGUGAGAGCUGGUGGUCGCACUAGAUGCUGUCUCCUCUGCAGGGCAGGGUCACAGUUGUUGAGGACCAUUCUAGCAACCCCCACCUCAGGGGCUACUCCAGCUCUGCCCACUGCUGUGGGCCUGCCUGGGCAGGGUGGCUCCUUUGAAACACAUUUGGGCCCCCACAGAGGUGUGGUGCCAUGGCUGGGGCACAGACUAUGUGCCCAUCUGUGUGACGUAAGGAAGUCCUCUGUAGCGUCACCUGCUCAUACACCAGUCACAACUGUAGACAGCAUGUGAGCUGCUUGCCAAUGCCACAGAUGGGGUCCUCUGUCUGGGGAUACCCCAGCUUUGCUGCAGUAGUCUGAGUCCCACAGGAGGAAAGUCAUUUGUUGGUGGCCACACAAGACACAGAGCCAGAUGCAGGUCUCCUGGUAGUUUUAGUUUUGAAUGGGGGCAACUUGGUAUCCCAGAGCACUUUCUCUUUGCCAAAUCAAAUAGCUCCUCCGAACACUGCCCACCUGCCCUGGCCAUGGGCUGGGAAGAGGAGAUUUGGGGUGCUCCUUAAGCCCUAGGCUCCUGGGAAAACACUGCCCAUCUGGCUGAGCUGGGAACUCACCAUGGAGUCUGUGGAGGAUCCAAAUGCUGAGGCAGGGUUGAGUCUGGGCAGGAUACGGGGGGCCUCAAGAAGGCCUCUGUGGUGGCCAAGUCUUGCUGCCACCUGGAAGCAUCUCCUUAUCAUGGCCAAGUGCAAGGAUCCAGCCCUGCUUGGAUGGAGGGUCUUGGCUGACUCCCAAGGAGUGCUUUCAGCUGCACUUGGGGCCGCUUCUCUCCCUUCUGUUGCAGGCUUUCUUUCAGAGAGCUAGGCGAGGCUGGGCUGGUGUGCUGCAACACCCACAGAUGCUCGGCGCCUUUAGCUGGUCUAGGAGCCCCACCCAGUGCUUGGGGAGGGACAGAUGCUGCUUGGGCAUGAAAAGGCAGCAGGACUGGCUUGAGUUGCAAAAGGAGUAAACAAGUACAUAAACAAAUAGUAUGGGGUAUAUAGAGCCUUGGAGAGCUGCCUGGGGGUUCUGAGGGAGAAUCCAAGAAUAUUUCCAGAAGGAUAAGGGAAGCCUGUCCCUUGAUUGGAGGGUGCUGGUGGAGUGUUCUUGGUAUGUGCUCUGCAGUGUAUACCGGACUCUGAAAACUCUGGUAUGAUUUUGUGACUCAGAAAACCAACUCACAGGCCGGGUGCGGUGGCUCACGCCUGUAAUCCCAGCACUUUGGGAGGCCGAGGCGGCGGAUUACGAGGUUAGGAGAUCGAGACCAUCCUGGCUAACACGGUGAAACCCCGUCUCUACUAAAAAAAAUACAAAAAAUUAGCCGGGCGUGGUGGCGGGUGCCGGUAGUCCCAGCUACGCAGGGGGCUGAGGCAGGAGAAUGGCGUGAACCUGGGAGGUGGAGCUUGCAGUGAGCUGAGAUCUAGCCACCGCACUCCAGCCUGGGCGACUGAGCGAGACUCCGUCUCAAAAAAAUAAAAAUAAAAAAAUAAAAAAAAAGAAAACCAACUCACAGCCUUAGACACCUCUUUUUUUUUUUUUUUUUUUUUUUUGGUGAGACGGAGUUUCAAUCUUGUCGCCCAGGCUGGUGUGCAAUGGCGUGAUCUCGGCUCACUGCAACCUCCGCCUCCUGGGUUCAAGUGAUUCUCCUGCCUCAGCCUCCUGAGUAGCUGGGAUUACAGACACACACCACCACACCCAGCUAAAUUUUGUAUAUUUUUUUUAGUAGAGAUGGGGUUUUGCCAUGUUAGCCAGGCUGGUCUUGAACUCCUGACCUCAGGUGACCUCCCAAAGUGCUGGGAUUACAGGCGUGAGCCACCGCACCCGGCCAACACCUCUUCUUAUAUCCCGGACAAGGGUUAGCACAGGAGAGUUUCACCUGCUGGUCUCUGGCUGGGGAUAGGAGUUGGAGGUGGGGGAGGGCUUGACAGGGAGGGCAGAAAAUAAUUUGGGAGGAAACAGCUUGGCAGGGAUACUCUCAUGUUUUGGGAACCCCGUGCCCAGGGAGUGGCUCAUGUCAGCAGGCAGUGCUGGGAGUGAGGUGGGCGCGGCAGUGAGGCUUUGUUGAGUGGGAAGGGACACUCAGCCAACAUCUGCAAGGCAGUGGGAUUUGGUGGUGGUGUGUCUUCUAUUGAAUUUAAACUGCCAAUUUUCAAUUAAAAGUCUCAGUUUUAAAUUGACUAAAAUAAAAGCAUGUUCUAAAGAUCAGUCCUCGCGCAGUGGCUCAAGGCUGUAAUCUCAGCAUUUUGGGAGGCCGAGUGAGACCUUGUCUUAAAAAAAAAAAAAUCAGAACUGUGCAAAGGUGGAAUCAUAACAGUGAUGAUGACGAUAAUAAUAGUUGUGAUGAUUAUGACAUUUUGGCAGGUUCCAAAAGAUGAAACUGAUUUAAUGCGGAAAUUUAAAAGAUUUGGUUCACCCUCUGUAUUUGGUUGCCCUAGAAGAAGACUAGAAUAUAAAUAUUUCCCCUCACCUCCUGCAAAGGUUUGAAUUAAACUUCCUCAAGGACUGGGGGAACCAUUUUUUUUUGUUGUUGUUAUUUUGUCAGAGUCUCACUCUUAUUGCCCAGGAGUGCAGUGGCACCAUCUCGGCUCACUGCAACCUCUGCCUCCCAGGCUCAAGCAAUUCUCCUGCCUCAGCCUCCCAAGUAGCUGGGAUUACAGGCGCUUGCUACUACGCCCGGCUAGUUUUUAUAUUUUUAGUAGAGACGGGGUUUCAUCAUGUUGGCCAGGCUGGUCUCAAACUCCUGGCCUUGGCUGAUCUGCCUGCCUCAGCGUCCCAAAGUGCUGGGAUUACAGGCAUGAGGCACCACGCCCAGCUGGAAGUUUUUUUGGUUGAUUCAGCCUCUGGGUCUAAGCAAAGAUAUUUGAGUUGGUUGCCAUCCCCAGAUAAGUGAGAAUAUCUGGCAGCACUCAUUUUCAGCCCUGGGCCGCAGCCGUUGCUGUGAGGCAGAAAUUAAAAAAAGAUAGUAAGUACUACAUUCAUUCACUCCAAGAAAAGUAACAGACAAGGCUAUAAGAAGGUCAUAGUGACCUAGUCUGAGAAGUAAAAGCCAAGGCCCAGAAUGUGGCAAGGCAAAGGUUAAAAAGAAAGGAAGAGCAAGUUUUUCUCUGCCUAGCAAGCUCACUUCAAAGACAAUUAUAAGAUAAUGCUCUUCGAGAAGUCGAAACCAAAGGAAUAGGCUCCAGACAUCCCCCGUCUGGAGCAAGGGUGAAGGAAAAAAAAAAAAGGACAAAUGUCUGUCUGUAUUUAGCCAGUUCUUGUUUUUUCUUUCCACGCAGCUACAAGGCCACCAGCUAUGCAAAGCCACAAGUUAUGCCAAGUCAUCAGUUAUGCUAUAGAUUAUGUGACCUGUCAUUAUAUGAUUAACUGCCUGUUUUGCUUCUGUAAGCCUGCUUAUAAAAAUCCUGCUCAGUCUUUGUUCAAUGCUCAGCUUUUUGGAUGUGAAUCCACUGAGCCAAUGCCUACCUUAAAAUAAACAUCGUCCUGUUUUUCCAUAUCUGUCUCUCUGGUCCUGAGUUUACCAC